Molecule: long non-coding RNA, 740 nt
Organism: Solanum dulcamara
Lineage: Eukaryota; Viridiplantae; Streptophyta; Magnoliopsida; Solanales; Solanaceae
Exons: 3
Source: RefSeq, a predicted model, not a curated record
AAUGUGAUAUCGGAGUAAUAAGAUAUAGACGUUUUAAAUCUGACAGGCCAAACUAAAUAGUGAAUUCGGCCCAACCCAAUUCUAAUUCGGGUCAGGCCCAAUACCCACAAAAUUAAAUCUGAUUUUUGUAACUAUUCCUUCAUACAAAGAUCAACAUAAUUCUGGAAAUUUCCAAAGAGAGAGAGAAAGGGAGUUCUUGAGAAAAAUCCCAAAUCCGACCAAAAUUAAGUCCCGAAAUCCGAAGCUCAUGAAGAGAAAAUUGUUGUACGUCGCGUUGGCUUCAAUUUGAGCUAGAAAUCAACCAAUAAGGAGAAGAUUUUAUGUGGUGCUGCAAAUUUAAGGUUGAGACAAUAUUGGACAACAUAUACGUAUAAACGCUAAAGGUACAGAUACUUAUUUUGGAGAGCCGCCACCUUAGGAUUCUACUCAACGUGCUCCAUUGUCUCGGAGCCUAAACUUUUGGUACUAAUCCUUAUAAUGUAUAUAUUUGUGUAUUUUGGGGGUACGGCGGGGCCCUGUCUCGUCAUAUGCUAUUGUUAAUCCUCUUAGAGGUCUGUAGACACAUGAGUGGGUUGUAUGUAGAUAUUGUCUGAUGUACUAGUAUGGCAUAUGUUUUUGGACAUUUACAUUCGGAGUGAAAGCCUUGUCGGCUUACGUAUUAUGUUAUCUUAUUUUUGACAAUUAAGACUCCCCAAGAAAUAGCUAAUUUUGGUAUAUAUAUAAGUGACAGUUUGAGACAA